RNAcentral lists this long non-coding RNA (268 nucleotides) under Nicotiana benthamiana. RNAcentral describes it as "long non-coding RNA (NBEN_LNC017801)". The record is from RNAcentral. Lineage: Eukaryota; Viridiplantae; Streptophyta; Magnoliopsida; Solanales; Solanaceae.
CAGUUGCUCAAGGAUACCACACCUUAAGACUUCACUUGCUUGAGGAUACCUCACCCCAAGACUUCAACCACUAAGACUUUGGGUACUUAGCAAACACGACAAAUGAGAAUAUAUGUUCUUCUCAAACAACUCUCUAACAAAUACUCUCUCAAUAUAGUGGAUAAAGAAAAACAAAAUAAGCUCUAUGAACAACACAAAGUUGUCUAUCAAAUGGCUCAACAAAAGCUCUAAAAUGAUGCUUGAAAAUGAUCAAUAUGUAUAUCAAUAU